This 433-nucleotide ribosomal RNA is filed under the name uncultured bacterium. Its description in RNAcentral is "partial 16S ribosomal RNA". It matches the Rfam family "Bacterial small subunit ribosomal RNA", at positions 29 to 507 of the family's 1533-position model. The record is from RNAcentral.
AACGAACGCUGGCGGCAUGCCUAACACAUGCAAGUCGAACGAGACCUCCGGGACUAGUGGCGCAUGGGUGCGUAACGCGUCGGAACCUGCCCUUAUGUUCGGAAUAACUCUCCGACAGGGGUGCUAACACCGGAUAAUGUCUUCUAACCAAAGAUUUAUCGACCUUGGAUGGGCCCGCGUUGGAUUAGCUUGUUGGUAGGGUAAAAGCCUACCACGGCGACGGUCCAUAGCUGGUUUGAGAGGCAGAUCAGCGACACUGAGACUGGGACGCGGCCGGGAAUCCUACGCGAGGGGGGAGUGGGGGAUAUAGGAAAAUGGGCGGAGGGCUGAUCCAGCAAGGCCGGGUGAGUGAUGAAGGCGUUAGAGUUGUAAAGCUCUUUUACCCGGGAUGAUAAUGACGGUACCGAAAGAAUAAGCACCGGCUAACUCCGUG